Molecule: non-coding RNA, 201 nt
Organism: Maylandia zebra (zebra mbuna)
Lineage: Eukaryota; Metazoa; Chordata; Actinopteri; Cichliformes; Cichlidae
Source: RefSeq, a predicted model, not a curated record
GGAAACUGCAGGAAGAACAUAAAAAGCUGGUAAAUGAAACCCAGUCAGCGUUCGUCAGCCUAAUAUCAUAGAUUCUGGUAUUUGGCCAAAAGAGAGCUUCACAAUUCUUGGCUUCACCUGUGGUAGAAAAAUGACUGAAGUUAUGCAACACUCUCUAAAAUUAAAGCUAUGCAACGCUUUAACAUGAAUGGCGAAGGAGUG